CUUUUAAGUCGGCCUUUUGUGUCCUUUGCAAAAUGGCUCUCUUGUUUAUCAAAGUCUGUCUUGUACAGUAAGCGUAUCAGAAGUCCAUCUGAAGGAAGCAUACAAAGGCAGGAAGCACUGACAUUUCCCCCCACCAUGAGGUCCCCAAAUCCAUUCCUUCCCCAUCUGCCAAGACAUUCAUCCAUGCUCUAGUUAUUUUCCACAUCACAGUAUUUUCUAAAAUUACUCUUUCCGGAGCCCUUCCUCACUCCUUCACUAUCUCACUUGAGUCUAUCCAUGGCAUCAUUUUUCCCUCUGUUCUCUUAAUCCCCCUUGGUGUACACAGAACUUUCACAGGAAUACUUGCUCCAUCAUUAUCUGUCUCUGUUUCCAGAGUCCACUUAGGCCCUUAGGCUUUGCUCUCCUGACUCUGACUUCCUGAACUGUCCAGAAGUAGUCCCCCUCCUUGCCAGGUCUUGAGAUGUCCACGUGGAACUUUUCGGCCCGGCCCAUUUGUAUAUGAAUGUUUCACGCAACACUCUACUACAUCACUUCUGCUUCUGUGGGUAGCCAGCAGGGCCCUGUGUACAGGGAUCAUCUGUUUAAACUGAAAUCUUGUCAUUUGUUAUGGCAGUUUUAUUUAUGAGCCUGUGUGUUGUAACCUUGUGGCAUAAAUAUUAAAUAAUAAUAUCUCUUGGGCAAAAAAAUAUCAUUCAUGUUAACUGACAACUUCUUAUGAAAAUAUGAAGUAAGCCCAACCACACAAUUUGAUAUUGGCUAAUUCUGAAAUAUGAGUAAAAGCACGGAUUGCUCAACAGGUAGAUGCACAGGCAGAAUUAUAAUUUGCAUUUUUACACCUUCUUGCUUCAAGAAAUGAAACAUUCAAGAAGUAAAAAACGUUAAAAGAAACGGGCUGAGUGGCAAAUUUCUUCAGAAUCAAAUUCUAAUUUCUGCCAGUAUCUCCUAAGCAGUUUUUAGCUUCCAAAAAGAAAGACUCCAAAUAAUGACAAUGCCACAUAAGUGAAAUGAAUUCUGGACAAUGACACUGCUCUUUUUUUUUUUUUUUUUGGCAUUCUGUGAAUUUCCUAUUACAUCAGUUUCAUGAUUCAGCAUUUUCCAUUUCAUUUAUUUACAGUAAUAUAUGGCGAGAUAACCCAAGGUUUCUGCAGGAUUGUGGAACAUAAGUUACUCUGGGCAGGAAGGGUGUCGCCUUCUGUAAAUUUACUAUUGUUUAGGAGAACUCAAAACAGAAGCAAGCAAGCCCUCAAAGGAACUGAGAAAAUUUCUCCCCACUUUGUUCUGAGGGGUCUCAGCUACUCUGGUAUUUAAAAUAAAUGGGUUUUGAAAAAUAGGUUACUGCCCUUUAGUUGAUGACUAAAACAGAAGCCAAGAAGUGUGCAAAUUGCAAACUGACAUGCAUGAGCCAAACAUAUUCUCUGAAAUGACAAUGUUCAAGACGCAGCUAAAGUCACCACUCUGGCGGUAAGCGUGUUACAGAGAACUAGAUUUCUUUCCGGCAUCCGCAACUUGGCUGGAGUGACCAAGGAGGAGUUGAAGAGCGCUGGAGAUGCGAGGAGCUAAGGACUGGCUCAAUUGACUAUAAAGAAUCGAGAAUGUCAGCUGACCAGGCAACCAGGAGACGCUUUCCUGACUUCCACUAUGCACGUGGGCUGCAUAAUUGUGUCUGUGAAGUAAUGAAGAACGUGCUUGCUCUGUAACAUCCAAACGCGUGGCCACCAUUCACAGAUAGUGUCCUUUGGGAAAGGUGUGGGUAUAGAUGGGGAAUGGUCAGUCCUAUGAAUAUGGGGCUAUAAGACAGCAAGGCUAGAAAGUAUCUGUGCUUUCAUUUUUUAAUUUUAUCUAUUUUUUUUUUUUUUUUGCACUAAUGGUUUGCAUUCACAUUGAGGAACUGAGACUGUUUUCAGACUUUUGGCCUACUGAUGACCUUAUGUUCAUAAAAGGAUAGAAGUAUAAUAAGUUGUUUAAUAUAAAACAUACUGAAAUUUUAUUUUCUGUCUCCUUGGAUAUAAAGUUUCCACUUAUCUUGGGUUUAAGUACCUACUCCUCCACAGAGAGGGACCUUGUGCAUGUAGAUUGAUAUUCUCAGGAUGAAAGCAGUACCUACUACAACUAGGAACUCACAGAACAGGAAGACGAUGCUUGUUCCUGAUGGCAUGUAAAUCUAGAUUCACUUCUAGCUGGAAGGAGGCAGGCCAGAAAUUCAGAGUUGUAGGUCCUUGGCCUGGGUGGAUGUGCUACAACAUGAACCAUAAACCUCCAUCACUUAUCUUGGCGGAUAGAAAAUUGGAACUUUGGAGGAAAGUUUCGCAUCAAGCACUCAGACCCAAUAAAUACUCCCACUCCUUGCAGAGCUACCGAACAUUCUGCACUCCAUUUAUCAGGCUACCCAAGGAUGCUUGGAAUGUGCUGGCCGGAGCCACCAUCAGCACUUGCUGAUGACUCUUUGUGGUACCGCCACUCACUUUCUGUACUGUGUUCUUUCUUCUUCCUUCUCUUUUGUUCUUCUGCCCAGCGACACACUUGUGCAGACUGACUUGGUGCCUUGGUGCCUGUUAUGGACUGAAUGCUCGUGUCCUCCCACAUUCAUAUGUCAAAGCACAAUCCCCAAUGUGAUGGUAUUUGGAGAUGGGGCCUCUGGGGGGUGAUCAGGUUUAGCUGUUGUAAAGGUGAGCCCUCCGCGUCUGGAUUAGUGCCCUUAUAAAAAGAGACACAAGCGAGCUUUCUCAUUCUCCUUCCACCAUGUUAAGAUACAAUGAGAAGACGGCCAUCUGGAAAACAGGAAGCAGGCCUUCACCUGCUGUAGGCAAUCAUAACACAAUGAGAAGUAUUGUGUUGGCACUAUCUGGUCCAGGAGCAGCUGGACCUCCCAGAAAGACAUGGGGUCAGCCUCCACCUGGAUCCUGAACUUCCCAGCCUCCAUAAGCAUGAGAAAUAAAUGUCUGUUGCUUAA
Molecule: long non-coding RNA, 2950 nt
Filed under: Homo sapiens (human)
Lineage: Eukaryota; Metazoa; Chordata; Mammalia; Primates; Hominidae
Description: HSALNT0318794
Source: RNAcentral